GGAUGCGAUCAUACUAGCACUAAAGCACCGGAUCCCAUCAGAACUCCGAAGUUAAGCGUGCUUGGGCGAGAGUAGUACUAUGAUGGGUGACCUCCUGGGAAGUCCUUGUGUUGCAUUCC
RNAcentral lists this ribosomal RNA (119 nucleotides) under Triticum aestivum (bread wheat). The record is from RNAcentral. Lineage: Eukaryota; Viridiplantae; Streptophyta; Magnoliopsida; Poales; Poaceae.